Molecule: unclassified non-coding RNA, 240 nt
Filed under: soil metagenome
Description: partial contains 5.8S ribosomal RNA, internal transcribed spacer 2, and large subunit ribosomal RNA
Source: RNAcentral
AAGACUAUAGACCUGCGGAGUACCUGCGGAAGGAUCAUUAAAGAGUUGCAAGACUCCCAAACCAUUGUGAACGUUACCCACACCGUUGCUUCGGCGGGCGGCCCGGGCCCUGCCCGGCGCCCCCCGGCCCCUCGCGGGCGCCCGCCGGAGGUAAACCAAACUCUUGAAUUGUAUGGCCUCUCUGAGUCUUCUGUACUGAAUAAGUCAAAACUUUUAACAAUGGAUCUCUAGAUCGGAAGA